RNAcentral lists this ribosomal RNA (311 nucleotides) under Tragiscus dimidiatus. Its description in RNAcentral is "eukaryotic LSU rRNA". It matches the Rfam family "Eukaryotic large subunit ribosomal RNA", at positions 664 to 940 of the family's 3401-position model. The record is from RNAcentral. Lineage: Eukaryota; Metazoa; Arthropoda; Insecta; Coleoptera; Scarabaeidae.
GACCAAGGAGUCUAGCAUGUGCGCGAGUCAUUGGGACUGUAAUAAACCUAAAGGCGCAAUGAAAGUAAAAGUCCGCCUCGCGCGGACUUAGGGAGGAUGAGACCGUUCUCGUGACGGACUCCGCACUCCCGGGGCGUCUCGUUCUCAUUGCGAGAUGAGGCGCACCCAGAGCGUACACGCUGGGACCCGAAAGAUGGUGAACUAUGCCUGGUCAGGACGAAGUCAGGGGAAACCCUGAUGGAGGUCCGUAGCGAUUCUGACGUGCAAAUCGAUCGUCGGAACUGGGUAUAGGGGCGAAAGACUAAUCGAAC